CAGACAUUGUACUCCCCAUAGGCACAGGGUUUUCAGAAUGGCCACUGAUGUCACCAGUCAAGUGCACAGAAAUUCUGCACCAAAAUCUAUACGCAAGGCAGAAUUUUUCAUCACAGUAUUCCUAAGAAAUUCCUGACAUCCAUCCUGCAGGUGGGAAAGAGAAACCUGGAUGAUGAACUGCUUUGUGAUCUCUCUGGAGUGUGGAGUCUGAUGGGGUAACUGGACAGUGUCAGACACAGUACAGCAACUUUGUGCUCUUCUGCUCAGACCAAGAAAUGAGCUGAGCGACCUCUGCCUUUUAGGGGGAAAUGAAGUUUCUGCUCCACUCACCCAUCACCACCACCCAGAAAUUCAGCAGCUUCUGUGCCUGAGCCAGGUGAACAAUUGGUACAGCUGGGGAUGGGAAGGAAGAAAAGAGAAGUAUGUGAGCACACAUUUGUACUUUUUCCAGCAAAGAAGGCAGGAAGAUUGAUCACCACAAGGAAAAGAUCUUAAAACACCUCUCAGAGGCUCACUGGCAGUUUCAGAGUAACAAGAGUAACAAGUGAUGAUGAUCUUUCUCCACACAAUGACAUCUUUAAGGGCCAGAGAGAAAAUUACAGUCAAAACCAUGUGCAUUCAGGCAAUUUAGACAAUUUUCUGUGUGCAGACAAAAUCCCUGGAUUUCUCCUCAGUGUUUAUCAAGGUAGGCUUCACAAAGUAUUUCAGAAAUCCCUUCCUUCCUUCCUUCCUUCCUUCCUUCCUUCCUUCCUUCCUUCCUUCCUUCCUUCCUUCCUUCCUUCCUUCCUUCCUUCCUUCCUUC
Molecule: long non-coding RNA, 802 nt
Filed under: Parus major (Great Tit)
Lineage: Eukaryota; Metazoa; Chordata; Aves; Passeriformes; Paridae
Description: lncRNA (ENSPMJG00000002225.1)
Source: RNAcentral